Molecule: long non-coding RNA, 1340 nt
Organism: Helianthus annuus (common sunflower)
Lineage: Eukaryota; Viridiplantae; Streptophyta; Magnoliopsida; Asterales; Asteraceae
Exons: 3
Source: RefSeq, a predicted model, not a curated record
CGGAUGCCGCCCCCUGCUCUUAUACUGUAACCUCAGGGCAAGAUGAUCGAGAGAUCUGAUACGCUGUUUUUCCGUCAAUCCGCUCACUGUAUACACCGAUCUCUCUUCGGUCUUUGUGGAUCGGAUCAUAACAUGUUGAUUCUUCAUAGGUAUGGUCAAAUAUAUAUGUUCGUUAUAUUUUGUUGUAUUUUGAAUGUUAACAGGCACAUUUAUUUCAUACUUGGUUAUUUUUCUGAUUAUACUAACCAUACUUGUUAAAAUCAAGUUAUUUUGAUGUUGAGUUAUUCAGAUUAGCAGAAAUAAAUUCUGUUAAAAUAUUCAACUGUUUGGAACCUAGUGGUUUUUGUUCAACGUCAACUUGUUAAUUUUUAAAAGGUAUGGGUUGAAACCCUAGGGAUUUAUGGCACCGAAGAAGUGGUGGACAUCUAAGGAAGAAGAAGCCUUGAAAGCUGGUGUUAAAGAAUAUAAAGCAGGAAACUGGAAAGAUAUUCUUAAAGAUCCACGAUUUGCUUCUAUACUGGCUAAUCGAACGAAUAUCGAUCUCAAGGUUGUUACUUGUCCUGCAAAGUUUGCAAAACAUGCAUCGAUCAGUGAUUGCGGACAUCUAGUUUCAACUGAAGACUCCGAGGCGGCUUAGUAGGCUUUCUUGGAGGGGUCUUUCCUGUCAAUUUCCUUACGUGAUAGCUGGAUCGAAAAGUUGGGUGUUUCUUCCUUCUUAGCGAGGUUCCUUCUAGGCCUGGUUUUCUUCAAUCUCUGAUGGCCUGCCUCUGCAUUGAUUCUUCCAUCAGCCUCAUCUUUUGAGAGAAUCGCGGGUGUAGGUGAUAGCGAUGAGGCUUUGGAUGUCAACUUUUUCAAAGGGGUGCCAUUUGGGGAUGAAGAAGCUUUGAUCGGAGACGAUGAUGAAUUCAGCUCAAAAUCCAACUUCUGCCGAUCAUCAGUGGAUCUAGGUUGUCCUGCAGAAGGGUUCUGGUUAGUGUCGCCUGGAUCUGAAGAUUCAUCAUCUUCAAACACAUGCGUUGCUUGAACUGGAUCAUCUUUCCUGCACCUCAAUAGAUGUUUCCCCCACGUCAACCCUGUAGGGAAAGUGAAAUUGUGAAGACUUUCAGAUCUCUCCAUCCAUAAGAUUUAAAUGUUGUAGCUAGUAUCUUCUUAGAGAUUUUUGAGCUUGAAGAGCUAGGCUGAUUAUUCAACCUAGGAGUUCUAAUUGUAACAUGUUGAUUGCUCAUAAUGUUUUCAUUUUUGUUUACUUCUUCAUCAUUGCUGUACAUUUUGUUUUAACUUAUAGUAAGAUGUACUGAUAGCAUAUAGAAUAUCUUUUAUUGAUGUUAGUCUAUUUUGUC